Long non-coding RNA from Artibeus jamaicensis (Jamaican fruit-eating bat), 371 nucleotides. RefSeq lists it as uncharacterized. The record is from RefSeq and is a predicted model, not a curated record. NCBI's taxonomy places the organism in Eukaryota, Metazoa, Chordata, Mammalia, Chiroptera, Phyllostomidae. The transcript is spliced from 3 exons.
GGUGAUUCAAGCGGGCCUCUUGGAAGAGAAGAACGUGAGCCAGGUCUUGGUGAAAGUCAUGGAAUGAGAACCACCUUGGAGUCCAUUGGGCCAUCUCCGUUAGAAGACCUAAUGUCUUGGAGCCCUUGGUAUAAAUUCAUAUCCUGUGGAAUUACUGGGCCACCGGUAGAUGCCCUUUACGUCUCAGUGACCCUCAGCCAAUGUUCAGUUCCUGGUAACACGCCACCAGGAUCGACGGAGCUUUCCGACUCGCCUCCUGCCAGAGUGCCCUUCUGCUGCGACCAGGAGACCCCGGGGGCAGGGGAGAAGCAUGAAGGAGACAGCACCUGGAUCGAAAGUGCUUUUCUCUUUCCUCCUGUAUCUUUUGAGAG